UCCCCAGGACUUGAAAGGUACCUGAAGGUUCUUUUUGGAAUAGCUGUGGCCUUCCUUCUGUUGCUUCUUUUUCUUACCCUCCUCCUUCUCCAUUUCAGGCAUCAAGAAAAACGCAGAAAAAAGGUCCGGAGAGAGACCACCAGUGUACGACUUCUUGCAGAUGCCGUGGAGCCAGUAACUAGGGACAGAGGUCCUCAGAAGAGUUCGAUUUCAGCUGAUGAGAGAAAGAAGAUCCUGAAUAGAGCGAUGCCCAAGGUCUCAGUUCACAGGGCAACUGGAGAGGCUCUGGUGUCCAAACUCUGAAGACCUAAACCCUCACUAUGGAACCAGGAUAUCACUACACUCCCAUGCUUUUUCUACGCUUCUUCUGCUUCACACAGUCUGAAGAUGAUGUGGAGCUGGACAGUUGGGUGAGGUCCCUGUCUUCACCUGAAGUGCUAAGACUUAGAUCUCAAGCUCACCCAGAGGACCUUUUCACCUUUUCUGUUCUCUCUCUCUCUCUCUCUCUCUCUCUCUCUCUCUCUCUCUCUCUCUCCCGUUUUCUCCCUUGGGGCUCAAUAACAUCACAACUGACCACUCCAUCCUGCAAGCACCUUCCUCCUGUGUGUUAUGGCCUCACUCUUUCCAGGCUUUCUCAGCACCACAUUUGGCUCCUCCAUCCUUUCCCUUUCUGGCCUCUUGGCAUUUGUCUGGUUGUUAAUAUGCGUCUGGGAAUUUUAGAAGGUCAUGUGAAUAAAUGAGGCCAGAUGUUCCUAAUACCCCAGUCACUCACUCACUCCCCCAGCUAUUACAAGGCUCUCUGCCGGGGAUACAGUAGAGCAAAGAGCAAACUCCCUAGCCAUGAAGAGACAGCAUGCUAAUAAAUUCACAGUGUAUGCAAUGCAAAGUAUUUGUGGAAACAAAGCAGAGCAAGGAGUGGAGUGUGUGCAGCACUUAAUGGCUUGCGAAUCACAAGGGGUGACCCUGAGAGGUGUCAUCUGAGGGGAAUAGUGGAUGUAAAGGUCCAUACAUGUGGAGGGCCGCAACCACAUUCUCCAUUGCUUCAAGGGAUAAAGGUAGAGAUUGACCUCUGUGACCUCAAGGUGUGGUAGUACA
This is a non-coding RNA of Myodes glareolus (Bank vole), 1095 nucleotides long. NCBI's taxonomy places the organism in Eukaryota, Metazoa, Chordata, Mammalia, Rodentia, Cricetidae. The record is from RefSeq and is a predicted model, not a curated record.